UCGGAGUUUUCGAAUUUUCGGAGAACGUUUGAUUUUUAGACGUCGGGUUCGUAUUGCAAUGGAAACCGCUAUCGGCAUGGAAAAUAAGUGCAAAAAUGCAUACCGGCAUUCAAAAUUCAAAACUGAGUUACAAAGUUAAAACGAAAUGAGUAAAAUACUAUGAACGACGGGGGCAUCCUUUUUUCCCCCGUGUGAUGAUAACUGUAUUGUC
Cinara cedri is the source of this 211-nucleotide non-coding RNA. The record is from the annotation of a GenBank genome assembly. NCBI's taxonomy places the organism in Eukaryota, Metazoa, Arthropoda, Insecta, Hemiptera, Aphididae.